CUGGGCUACGGAGACAUGUACCCGCAGACAUGGUCUGGCAUGUUGGUGGGAGCACUGUGCGCACUGGCAGGCGUGCUGACCAUUGCCAUGCCCGUGCCUGUCAUCGUGAACAAU
Molecule: small RNA, 114 nt
Filed under: Marmota monax (woodchuck)
Lineage: Eukaryota; Metazoa; Chordata; Mammalia; Rodentia; Sciuridae
Rfam family: Potassium channel RNA editing signal
About the family: This family represents a group of sequences related to the human potassium channel Kv1.1 hairpin element which directs the efficient modification of an adenosine to inosine by an adenosine deaminase acting on RNA (ADAR).
Source: RNAcentral